This 501-nucleotide ribosomal RNA is filed under the name uncultured bacterium. Its description in RNAcentral is "bacterial SSU rRNA". It matches the Rfam family "Bacterial small subunit ribosomal RNA", at positions 28 to 514 of the family's 1533-position model. The record is from RNAcentral.
GAUGAACGCUAGCGGCAGGCCUAACACAUGCAAGUCGAGGGGCAGCGGGGAGUAGCAAUACUUUGCCGGCGACCGGCGCACGGGUGCGUAACGCGUAUGUGACCUACCUAUAACAGGGGGAUAACCCAGAGAAAUUUGGACUAAUACCCCAUAUUAUUAUUGAGCUGCAUGGUUUGAUAAUGAAAGACGCGAGUUGGUUAUAGAUGGGCAUGCGUGACAUUAGCUAGUUGGUAAGGUAACGGCUUACCAAGGCUACGAUGUCUAGGGGAACUGAGAGGUUAAUCCCCCACACUGGUACUGAGACACGGACCAGACUCCUACGGGAGGCAGCAGUGAGGAAUAUUGGUCAAUGGUCGGAAGACUGAACCAGCCAUGCCGCGUGAAGGAAGAAUGUCCUAUGGAUUGUAAAACUUCUUUUANAUAGGAAUAAAAACCUCCCACGUGUGGGAGCUUGUAUGUACUAUAUGAAUAAAGCCAAUCGGCUAAACUCCGUGCCAGCAG